RNAcentral lists this non-coding RNA (177 nucleotides) under Anaerolineales bacterium. RNAcentral describes it as "6S RNA". It matches the Rfam family "6S / SsrS RNA". Rfam says of the family: E. coli 6S RNA was the first non coding RNA to be sequenced, but its function was unknown until recently. It consists of 184 nucleotides that fold into an extended hairpin structure with a large single-stranded internal bulge. The record is from RNAcentral. Lineage: Bacteria; Bacillati; Chloroflexota; Anaerolineae; Anaerolineales.
AAUACCCUGCUGUGUGCGUGCUGCAGCCAUUGCGUUCUGUACCAACACCCACUUAUAGGGUUCCAAUCUUACGGGCGGUGACGCGUUAGGCCUCGGCCAAGGCGGAUCCCUCGAGGCGGAACCCCUCCUGCGAAGGCAGGUUCAGAACAUCGCUGUCCACGGCAUGGUGGGGUUUUU